RNAcentral lists this ribosomal RNA (253 nucleotides) under uncultured bacterium. RNAcentral's name for it is "partial 16S ribosomal RNA". It matches the Rfam family "Bacterial small subunit ribosomal RNA", at positions 524 to 776 of the family's 1533-position model. The record is from RNAcentral.
UACGGAGGGUGCGAGCGUUGUCCGGAAUCACUGGGCGUAAAGGGCGCGUAGGCGGCUCAUGAAGGCUGUGGUGAAAGUCCGGGGCUCAACCUCGGAUCGGCCGUGGCGACUCGUGGGCUGGAGCACUGUAGAGGCGGGUGGAAUUCCGGGUGUAGCGGUGGAAUGCGUAGAUAUCGAGAGGAACACCUGCGGCGAAGGCGGGUUGCUGGGCUGACACUGACGCUGAGGCGCGAAAGCUAGGGGAGCGAACGGG